ACGAGGAACCAAAUCGACAAAAAAGGAUAGACGAAACAUUGAAAUAUAUAACACUCGUUUUAUUUCAUAUUUAGCAAGGUUUCUUAUUGUUUUU
Molecule: non-coding RNA, 94 nt
Filed under: Leptocylindrus danicus
Lineage: Eukaryota; Bacillariophyta; Leptocylindrophyceae; Leptocylindrales; Leptocylindraceae
Source: RNAcentral